ACCCACAACCAGCCCCCGUCUGCUCUUUCUCUCUCUAGAGUUUUCUCACGAUGCUCUCUUCUUCCCAUUAUUUCCCUUUCUAUAGAUCUUUCACACUCAGCCUAUCUUCGCCGUCCGCCAUCUCGAAGUUGCCGCCGCGAGAUCCGAGGCCAAAGUAGAGGAAGCGGAAGCCAUACAAACCCUAAAUAUCGUUCUGACAUAUCUCCGCCGCCGCUUCGCCGUUCUGGAUUUCCGCCACUCGAAAUGUUCCGUUCCGCCACCGUGCUCAUCUCCAGCCACCCGGUCCUCUGGCGAUGUGAUCCAGCGAUUCCUUCGCUCAUUUUACAUGGCGGCAUCCUUUCCUCCGAUUUACCCUCCAAGCGCCGCUCCUCCUCCGUCAAGCGCCGCUCUAUUUCCACCGCCAACUGCCCGCCACCCCUAGAUGAGAAGGUAAAGUCAGGGAAGGGGAAACCGCCGCCGCCGCCGCUAAUAUUAGAUCAUAGCCAAGAACACCACUUUCCUCUCGGAGCAAAAAUUACGGAUCUAGGGUUUGAGUUUGAGAAUAAAAGUGUGUAAUGGACGAAAGAGAAAUCGAAAUUCAUGCCUUCAAUGCUGAAAACGGGUUGGUAGCAUCACGGUUUGAGAUUAUGAGGAGUACAUGAAGCAGCUCAAUGAUUUUCUCGAUUCUCCUUUGCAGGACGUACGGAGUGUCCCCAAGUGGAACCUUGUGUGCCACGUGGAAGGAUUCAGAUCUGGUUCUAGAUGCUCCGAGAGGCUUAGUAGGUGAAAUCCGGGUAGCCCAUUCACAUUUCUUUCAUCAUUUUUUUUCUUGAGAGAGAAAAUGGAGGAAGAGCCUUCAAAUUGAGAUUUUAGAGAGAGACAGGGGAAAGAAGUGGAACCAGGGUUCGUUAAUUUUCGUUAAUUCAAAACAGCUUUUUUGCGACCGAUA
This is a long non-coding RNA of Erythranthe guttata (spotted monkey flower), 928 nucleotides long. RefSeq lists it as uncharacterized. The record is from RefSeq and is a predicted model, not a curated record. NCBI's taxonomy places the organism in Eukaryota, Viridiplantae, Streptophyta, Magnoliopsida, Lamiales, Phrymaceae.